GCCAGGUUCAGUGGCUCAUGCCUUUAAUCCCAGCUACUUGGGAGGCUGAGGCAGGAGAUUUGCAAGUUCCAGGCCAGCUUCUGCAAUUUAGCAAGACCCUGCUUCCA
This 107-nucleotide small RNA is filed under the name Marmota monax (woodchuck). The record is from RNAcentral. Lineage: Eukaryota; Metazoa; Chordata; Mammalia; Rodentia; Sciuridae.